GUACCUACGGGACGCAGCAGUGAGGAAUAUUGGUCAAUGGGCGAGAGCCUGGACCAGCCAAGUCGCGUGAGGGAAGACGGUCCUAUGGAUUGUAAACCUCUUUUGCCGGGGGGCAAAGAGAGUCACGUGUGACUCAUUGAGAGUACCCGAAGAAAAAGCAUCGGCUAACUCCGUGCCAGCAGCCGCGGUAAUACGGAGGAUGCGAGCGUUAUCCGGAUUUAUUGGGUUUAAAGGGUGCGCAGGCGGUCUGUUAAGUCAGCGGUCAAAGCCCGGGGCUCAACCCCGGCCCGCCGUUGAAACUGGCA
RNAcentral lists this ribosomal RNA (305 nucleotides) under uncultured bacterium. RNAcentral's name for it is "bacterial SSU rRNA". It matches the Rfam family "Bacterial small subunit ribosomal RNA", at positions 333 to 638 of the family's 1533-position model. The record is from RNAcentral.